CCCGUUUAUGGGGGCUGUGAUUUCAGGGCUUAUAUGGACGCUUUGCCCGGGAGGAGCCAGUAGCGUAACCGACCAUAUAUUAA
RNAcentral lists this non-coding RNA (83 nucleotides) under Dethiobacter alkaliphilus. RNAcentral describes it as "c-di-GMP-II sequence". It matches the Rfam family "Cyclic di-GMP-II riboswitch aptamer". The record is from RNAcentral. Lineage: Bacteria; Bacillati; Bacillota; Dethiobacteria; Dethiobacterales; Dethiobacteraceae. RNAcentral also lists the same sequence under 1 other name.